This 4228-nucleotide long non-coding RNA is filed under the name Homo sapiens (human). RNAcentral's name for it is "HSALNT0383764". Lineage: Eukaryota; Metazoa; Chordata; Mammalia; Primates; Hominidae. The record is from RNAcentral.
GCGUCAUUGCACUCCAGCCUGGGCAACAAGAGCAAAACUCCAUCUCAAAAAAAAAGAAAAAAGAAAUGUUAUGAAUUGGUAACAUCAGUCACAUUCCUACAACUUGCUGGUGCCUGGCACUGACCCGCAGCAGCCUCUGAGAUUACUAAUAGGCUGAGUGUAGGAGUAGCCUGGACCAUGUCUCCAUGGGUGUGGGGGAUAGCUCUUCUGAAGAAAGACUUAGGCUCAGUAUUUAGGAAACCUGAAAUGAAAGUGAGCCCACCUCUGUUUACCUUGUAGGAAGCUGAGCUAAGUGAGCAGCUGAAGAUGAAGGGAAGCCCAGAGGUUUUGCAGGUCACCAGAAAAGCCCUAAUUGAAGGAGGUACUAUACAAAUUUAGAAGAAAUGGUGCGUGAUUGUUUACAAAAGGUUCCUGAAUUUUCAGUGUUUGGCAGAGGAGGAGACAUGGAGAAAUACUGAAACUCCUGCUAAAGGACACCCCUUCAAAGGGCAGGCGCUGUGCUGGGCUCUGGGACUCGUGGGUGAACUGCACAGAGCUGGGCCCUGCCUUCAGGGAAAGAAGACAAUAAGCAAAACAUACCCAAAGAGAUGGUUACAAAGACAGCGAGCACCCGGAAGGAAAAUGGAAGCUGCCAGGAAAGGGGCUCCUGGGCCUACUCACCAGGAAGUCCAGUCCUCACCAGCCCGGAGGCCUGGUCUGCAUCCUCAGCCUCACAGAAGCUCAACCAGUCACUUAAAACGAGAUUGCAGUGAUGUUUUACAACUCUGUGAACGCACUAAUAGCCACUGAAUUCUACACUAACGUGUGCAUUUUAUGACAGGAGUGCUGCAUCUGGAUGGCAUGGCAGAGGGAAGCCCCAGCUGCCACUGCUCCAGGGACCCUUAUAGUUCCACGGUGAUGGGGAACAGAAAGAGGCUCUUCCAGGAAACAGCCUUGGGGACAAGGAGACCACACUUCUGGGUGAUUCGAAGAUCAGACAAGGCUCCUGUAAAAUGAACGAAUGAAGUGAAUGAAUGAGACGGAGUUGCACUGUUAGAGAUGGUGGCAGCAGUGUGAAUCAAAUGAAGUCCCUGCUCUCCCGGUUGUGGCCACGUUAGUCCAGCCCAGAAGAGUCUCCAGGGGCCCGAGCAUCUGUCCUCACAUCAGAACUAGCUUUGGGAUUGUGACUUUGGGGUUGCUUUGUUGGCUUCCUUUUCCUGUCAGGCAGCAUAUAGGGCUGGGGGCUGUCAACCGCACCCUCCCUGAAUCUACGUCCAUCACGAGUCCCCUUGCAGGGCCUUCUUUUUUUUUGACCCAGCGUCAGUCAUGUAACUUGCUUUGGCCAAGUGAUGUCAGCAAGUGGGAUACAAGCAGAGGUCUGAAAAGUGCUGGCAAACGGGGCUUGCUCGCUCGGCUCUGCCACAGUGUGAGAACGUGCCUCGACUCGCCUGCCGGUGGACAGCACACUUGGAACAGGACUGGUGUCGCCAGCUGCCCCAGCCGAGGCCACCCUAGACCAGCCAGCAGCCAGGACCAUGGCCCGGGCGAGUCCAGCCUGCAUCACUGGCUGCAGACUCGUGGGCUAAAUAAUUGCUCAUUGCUUCAAGUCACUGAGUUUCAGGGCAGUCCGUCCCAUAGCAUUAUUGUGGCAGUGGUCACUGAUGGGGCAGUAGGAGGGCUCCUGUCAGUACCAGGAGCUGUUGGCUCCUGUCAGAAAGGACCUAGUGGUAGCCAGUGUGGACCUGGAACAAGAGAGUGGGCCUUAAAACGAGGAUCUCCAGGCACCAUGUGGGGCUGAGCCUCAUAGGCAGCCAUUCCUGAAGCGCAGGAGGUGGUAGGAAAUUAGGAGGCAAAGGCAUGAGAUGCUAUGGCAGCUUCCCUGAGCGGGGACGAUGGGCACCACUCAUCGGUGGGCACCGCAGGGUGAGUCAGUUCCCGGCCCUGCUGCUUGAACUCAUCUCCCACAGGCACAGGCUGGCCGUGGGAGUCCGCGGGCCACGUGCAGUCUCCUCAUUCCCACCUCCUCCAGGUUUCCUUGCAGCCUCCACCUCCAGGGCUGAGUCAUGAGCUCAUGGCCCCAGGGAAGGAGAAGCUGGAAAGGCCUAGGACUUCAAGGUCACAGAGCUGUCAGCCCUCUGGGGAACUGCCUUGGUAGAACAGAGUAGCCACCUCACCCAAGGCAGCCCCCAGCCAGGGACGGAUCAGCUUGGGGGCGUAAACCUUGGUCCCCUCACCGCAGCUUGGUGCAGCCUGCAGGGCCACCCCAGCUCCGGGGCUCCUGAGACCAGCUUCUCCCUCGGGCCAUCCUGCCUGUCCCAUUCUGUCCCCUUCCAUCAGGGCUGACCCCCAGAGGACACCCUAACAAUUCCCUGCAGCCCAGGCUCCACCUCGGUGGGUAGCAGCUUCCCUGAAACCAGUGGUGCUUCUCAUUCAGUCCCUGCAGGCUGAGAAGCAGCCUGAAGGAUCUCCACUGCUUCCAGGCGAGGCCCCAGGGAUCUGCUGAGAAUCUGGCUGGUUGGCUUGCCAGGAAACAUCACUGUGAGUGUGAAGUGUCCCAGCCUUUGAGGGCCGCACGCCCACUGCCCAGGCAAGGGCUGAAUGGGAGCUUCAGAACUCAGGAGAUCACAGUGUGGGCGAGCCUAGGCUGCAGGACGGAGCCACAGCAAGGGUGACACAGGUUGCCAGUGCCCUGUGGAGGACACCACAGAACCCCACGGCAGCCCGGGCCUGCCGCGCCUGCACUGUCACCCACUUGGGGUGGAGCAUUCUUCUCUGCAACCAGCUAUAGGAAAUACAUAGUCUUAUAAUCUUUGUCCACCUGAGGAAUUACAGAUGGUCCCUGGCUCCUGGUGCCUCAAUUUAUGAUUUUUUGACUUUAUGAUGGUUUGAAAUAUUGGCAGUUUUGAUGAAUGUACAGUAUUCAAUAUAUCAUGUGAGGUAUUCAACAUUUUAUGAUAAAAUGGGCUUCGUGUGGCAUGAUUUUGCCCAAUUGUAGGCUAACCUGAGUGUUCUGAGCAUGUUUAAGGUCCACUAGGCUAAGCUAGGAUGUUCGGUAGCUUAGGUGUGUCAAAUGCAUUUUCAACUUACGAUAUUUUCAACUUGGAAUGGGUUUACCUGGAUGCAACCCCCAUGUAACUCGAGGAGCACCUGUAUGCGUCAAUUGCCUUCACCCUCUAACAGGGUGGGUGUGAGGGCUGCCAUGUCAGAGAAAGCAGGCCUGGAAUGGCGGUCAGAAGAGGAUUCUGGAAAUUCUGAGGUUUCCUAACAAGGCCCCAGUCAUGGCAGGAGGCUCUGAGGGCUCCACUGGGGCCGGAGAGGCUGCUUCCAGGCUCUCUCUGGCGUCCCUUGCUGGGGCUCCAGGCCUUCUCCAGCUGCUGGUGGCAGACCUGGAUCACAGGGCUGCUCAGUACAAGGCAGCUGGCUUUUCCCAGAGCAAGGGCUCUGAAGGGGAGGGAACAAGAGAAGGCGGGCAAGGUGGGGGGCACAGGCGUUUUGUAGCCAAAUAAUCUUGGAAGGGACAGCCCAUUACCUUUGCCAGAUUCUACUUAGUUGAAGCCAGUCCCUAGGUGACAGGAAUCACGAAGGCCAUUGGAGAGGCUGCCUGCCCUACGGGAUUGCAGAGGGGACGAGGCCCAGCAAAGUCUGUGGAGCUGGAGGAUGCCACGCCCAUUCAGGACGAAAUGCAGAAGGACGCUGCAGAGCCUGCUUCUCUGUUCCUUCGCCUCACUGGGGCAGACCAGCUGCGGCCAGCCUGUGCCCACUCCUCGCGGACCUGGGUACUGCUUCCAGAGAUCCUUCAGUCCUGGGAGUUUAAUCAUUCUGUCCCGGCCUCUUUGCUCCCAGCCCUCCCCUGGCAGUUGCUGCUCUAUUGUUCUAGCUCAGUUUUCACUUUUUGCCCUUGCAAUGCACAAGGGUUAGCAAUUCUUGAUGGUACAGUCUCUCUGUUCGAAGAGCUGGGGUGGUUUCUACUUCUAGCUGGACCCUGAGUGAUCCUUCAGGCAGGGGUCUCUGCGACUGGAGACAUGCUGUGUGCAUGAGGUCCCAUGUACACUCAGAUUGCAUCCCCCAUCCCUGCCCAGCCCUGAGAGGCAGGCGAGACAGUCCCCCUCUCACCAUCUCUGGGGUGGGCCUGGAUUUAUUGGCUGAAGAAUUACACCCUCUUUGAUGGUAUGCAGUUUAAUUCCGUAGAUCAAAGCUAUGUCUAGAUUUUAAAUAAAUGAUAGGGAUUUAAAAUUGUAUAUAAAACACA